CAGCAGCCGCGGUAAUACAGAGGUUGCGAGCGUUAAUCGGAUUUACUGGGCGUAAAGCGUGCGUAGGCGGCUUCUUAAGUCGGAUGUGAAAUCCCUGAGCUUAACUUAGGAAUUGCAUUCGAUACUGGGAAGCUAGAGUAUGGGAGAGGAUGGUAGAAUUCCAGGUGUAGCGGUGAAAUGCGUAGAGAUCUGGAGGAAUACCGAUGGCGAAGGCAACCAUCUGGCCUAAUACUGACGCUGAGGUACGAAAGCAUGGGGAGCAAACAGGAUUAGAUACCCCGGUAGUCCCUGUCUCUUAUAC
RNAcentral lists this ribosomal RNA (301 nucleotides) under uncultured bacterium. RNAcentral's name for it is "partial 16S ribosomal RNA". It matches the Rfam family "Bacterial small subunit ribosomal RNA", at positions 509 to 807 of the family's 1533-position model. The record is from RNAcentral.